Molecule: small nuclear RNA, 106 nt
Filed under: Microcebus murinus (gray mouse lemur)
Lineage: Eukaryota; Metazoa; Chordata; Mammalia; Primates; Cheirogaleidae
Source: RNAcentral
UCGUUCAUGUUGGUAGCACAUACACUAAAAUUAGAACCAUACAGGAAAAUUAGCAUGGCCCCAGUGAAGGGAUGACAUGUAAAUCUGUGUAACAUUCAUAUUUUUG